This 396-nucleotide ribosomal RNA is filed under the name uncultured Glomeromycotina. RNAcentral describes it as "SSU rRNA". It matches the Rfam family "Eukaryotic small subunit ribosomal RNA", at positions 569 to 971 of the family's 1831-position model. Lineage: Eukaryota; Fungi; Glomeromycota. The record is from RNAcentral.
AGCAGCCGCGGUAAUUCCAGCUCCAAUAGCGUAUAUUAAAGUUGUUGCAGUUAAAAAGCUCGUAGUUGAAUUUCGAGAUCGGCUUACUGGUCGUGCUUUUGUACGUACUGGUAAAUCGGUUUCUCCUUUCUGACGAACUUUAAUGCCAUUAACUUGGUGUUUUAGGGAAUCAGGACUGUUACUUUGAAAAAAUUAGAGUGUUUAAAGCAGGCUCACGCUUGAAUACAUUAGCAUGGAAUAACGGAAUAGGACGUUUGAUUCUAUUUUGUUGGUUUCUAGGAUCGACGUAAUGAUUAAUAGGGAUAGUUGGGGGCAUUAGUAUUCAAUUGUCAGAGGUGAAAUUCUUGGAUUUAUUGAAGACUAACUACUGCGAAAGCAUUUGCCAAGGAUGUUUUC